CCUGAUCUCAGUAUAUGGAGUUCCAGGGCUGAAGAAAGGAGCAGGAGAUUGACUCUGUCUAAACUUGCUGCUUGCUUCUGCAACAGACACAGUAGAUGGAAGUUUGCCAGGACCCAGCCUCUAGGAUCGCUGCAUAUCAGUGGAGAACCAUCAGUUGUUCCUAGGAUGAGGAAAGACCUGAUGGAGGCAGAUGGAAAUCAGUACUUUCUGAGAAAGAACAGCAGUGGAAAAGGAUUGCCCAUUUCAUUUAUGCAGAAGGUGGAGCCACAGGAGGGAGAUCUGGAACAUUCCCAGCCUCUUGGAUGCAACAACUCAGUCUGCUGCUGGGGGCUGCUCUGCACUCCCGGAUGCUUGAACGUGGUUCUAGGAUUCGUUAGGAUUGCGGCUUCAUUGCAGAAGAUCACCCCCAGAGCAAGGUGGACCUGUUCUGAUAUGGGACUCAUAAGAAGUGGGAUACUGUAAAGAUCACACGUCAUUAUGGUGAACUCUA
This 490-nucleotide long non-coding RNA is filed under the name Mus spicilegus (steppe mouse). RNAcentral describes it as "lncRNA (ENSMSIG00000017568.1)". Lineage: Eukaryota; Metazoa; Chordata; Mammalia; Rodentia; Muridae. The record is from RNAcentral.